GACGUGAGCAACCUGCCUAUGACAGUGUGGAUAGCCUCGGGAAACCGGGAUUAAUACCGCAUAAAAUCGUAGAAACACAUGUUUUAACGGUCAAAGAUUUAUCGGUCAUAGAUGGGCUCGCGUCUGAUUAGCUAGUUGGUGAGAUAACAGCCCACCAAGGCGACGAUCAGUAGCCGGUCUGAGAGGAUGAACGGCCACAUUGGAACUGAGACACGGUCCAA
Molecule: ribosomal RNA, 221 nt
Filed under: uncultured Eubacteriales bacterium
Lineage: Bacteria; Bacillati; Bacillota; Clostridia; Eubacteriales
Description: uncultured Clostridiales bacterium partial 16S ribosomal RNA
Rfam family: Bacterial small subunit ribosomal RNA
Source: RNAcentral